GACGAACGCUGGCGGCGUGCUUAACACAUGCAAGUCGAGCGGUAAGGCCCUUUCGGGGGUACACGAGCGGCGAACGGGUGAGUAACACGUGGGUGACCUGCCCUCAGCUCUGGGAUAAGCCUGGGAAACUGGGUCUAAUACUGGAUAUGACUCCACGGUGCAUGUCGUGGGGUGGAAAGCCUUGUGCGGCUGAGGAUGGGCCCGCGGCCUAUCAGCUUGUUGGUGGGGUGAUGGCCUACCAAGGCGACGACGGGUAGCCGGCCUGAGAGGGCGACCGGCCACACUGGGACUGAGACACGGCCCAGACUCCUACGGGAGGCAGCAGUGGGGAAUCUUGCGCAAUGGGCGAAAGCCUGACGCAGCGACGCCGCGUGAGGGAUGACGGCCUGUGU
This 392-nucleotide ribosomal RNA is filed under the name uncultured bacterium. Its description in RNAcentral is "bacterial SSU rRNA". It matches the Rfam family "Bacterial small subunit ribosomal RNA", at positions 28 to 421 of the family's 1533-position model. The record is from RNAcentral.